GUCUACGGUCCAUGCCACCUUGAAUGUGCUGAUCUCGUCUGAUCUUGGAAGCUAAGCAGGGUUGGGCUUCGUUAGUGCUUGUAUGGGGGACCAUCUUGGAAAAUCCAGGUGCUGUAGGCA
Molecule: ribosomal RNA, 120 nt
Filed under: Pteropus vampyrus (large flying fox)
Lineage: Eukaryota; Metazoa; Chordata; Mammalia; Chiroptera; Pteropodidae
Source: RNAcentral